GACGAACGCUGGCGGCGUGCUUAACACAUGCAAGUCGAACGGUAAGGCCCUUCGGGGUACACGAGUGGCGAACGGGUGAGUAACACGUGGGUGAUCUGCCCUGCACUUCGGGAUAAGCCUGGGAAACUGGGUCUAAUACCGGAUAGGACCACUGCCUGCAUGGGAGGUGGUGGAAAGCUUUUGCGGUGUGGGAUGGGCCCGCGGCCGAUCAGCUUGUUGGUGGGGUGAUGGCCUACCAAGGGGACGACGGGUAGCCGGCCUGCGAGGGUGACCGGCCACACUGGGACUGAGAUACGGCCCAGACUCCACCGGGGGGCAGCAGUGGGGAAUAUUGCACAAUGGGCGCAAGCCUGAUGCAGCGACGCCGCGUGAGGGAUGACGGCCUUCGGGUUGUAAACCUCUUUCAGCACCGACGAAGCGCAAGUGACGGUAGGUGCAGAAGAAGGACCGGCCAACUACGUGCCAGCCGCCGCCGUAA
This 478-nucleotide ribosomal RNA is filed under the name uncultured bacterium. RNAcentral's name for it is "partial 16S ribosomal RNA". It matches the Rfam family "Bacterial small subunit ribosomal RNA", at positions 28 to 523 of the family's 1533-position model. The record is from RNAcentral.